RNAcentral lists this long non-coding RNA (1738 nucleotides) under Gallus gallus (chicken). RNAcentral's name for it is "long non-coding RNA NONGGAT003286". Lineage: Eukaryota; Metazoa; Chordata; Aves; Galliformes; Phasianidae. The record is from RNAcentral.
UAACAUUAAUCUAAUAGAAGUACAAAAAAUAUUCAGGUCACUUUUACGUAAGUACAAAGGCAUACAAACGUGUGUAUCAUCUUCACAGCUGCUGUCUACGGAGCAGAAACUAUUCCCUGCUCGAGAUGUGCCACGGUGACCUAUGGCCCACAUGUGCUUCCAGCUCGUUUUUCCAGCCCAAAGAUAUCUGGAUAAAGGAAGACUCAUGCACUUCACAUUAUCCCCUUCACCACGCAUCAUUCCAGUUAUUGAAUAAUACAAGACAAACAGUGACCUACUUUAGAAAAACAGAUGAAAAGAAAAUGAAAACAAGAUACGUGACAACAGCAAGGAAACCAUGAAGCGCAAGCAGCAUCAGGUGAGGCUAAUGCAUUCUACGUGACUGCCAUCUGCACCUGGGAACACAGGCGACCCGAAAGCAGCAUCUGUUGGGCAGCAGGUCCUGCUGCCAGCUGUCAGCAGUGCAGCAGGAGCCGUGCAGUGCUGGCUAACACAGACCGACCGCUGCUCACGGGCACAGCACAGACAACGCGCCCCUCCCGCACGUGGCUCACAGCAGUUCCCUUUCCUUGAAAUAAGUCAGGGGAUUUCUUAGAAGUUCGAAUCUAUAUCUGCAGAGAUCAAACCUACUGCUCCUGCAGAAGGACCUUCCUGCCGCUGUGACUCAUCAGCAAGAAAAGGUGGGCCCUGCAGAUGACAAAUGAUGUUUUCAUAGUCUUAAGUAGCAAAGGUACCAGCAGUGAGCCCGUGGUGAGGGAAAGGCUGUUGGAGAGAACAGUGAAAAGGGACUUUCAUAUUAAGUUUGCUGAAUAUAAAUGAACACAGAGGCCUCGACAAAGGGUAGCAUCUUAAAAAUGCAUACGUGGGAAUUAUUUAAAUAAACUGAUACCAAAUAAGUCAUGGGAGAAUUGCUAUAAUAAAAAGGGAGGACUCUGUUUUGAAAUAAGACUUCCUUGAGAUAGAGGUUUAAUCUCUCCUAACCCAGAACUGCCUUCACUCCUCCGUUGUUUUUUCUGCAACCCAAUUGUUGAAUAUUAAUUCCUCUGUAGCAGCAGACUAAGUAUGACCAGAUUUCAACAAUGAAAGACCUAAAGGAAUAAUUAACGAACAAUGGACUCUUCUAUUACAAGGAAACGAUUAUCCACACCAGAACUGAAUUAGCAGAAUUUUCUGACAAACCAGAGCUGUUUGCUACAGCAGGGAGCACGAAGGGAUGGAUGCCUUCAGCUUUCCCAGCUCUACAGUUACUGAGGCUGGCACUGCUGUGACGUGGUUGGUUCCAACCCACAGAGGUGAGGGGUAUCCACCACGAAGAACGGGUGGACUGCAGCAUGCUGCAGCAGCACUUUGUCGUGUCCCUUCUGACUGCAGGCAUAAAGGAAGACAACAGAAAUGGGAACUGCAGCUGCAAAUUAUUUUACCCAAACAAAUGCUCGAUGGAACUGUUUGUCCUAAUGUGGCACAAAGCCACCACCACUGCUGAGCGCAGGCUGCAGAACAGAGGUGGAAUCCUUACGGAUUGAAGGCAAGGUGGAGGUUUCUUACAAAGCCACAUAUUGCUCCCUUGAAUGAGUUCAAAUGUUUACAGGUUUUAUCUGAGAAAUAAUGCAGCCACCACAAACACUGAACAAAGGUAUUCUUUUAAACAAUCUGAAAAACCACAGCUUUCUUCAGUUAUGCUUAUUUGUUAAUUUUACAAAAAAUGCAUACUGAAAACACCAUUUUAAUAACUUCAAGC